CCCAGACUCCUACGGGAGGCAGCAGUGGGGGAUAUUGCACAAUGGGGGCAACCCUGAUGCAGCGACGCCGCGUGAGCGAUGGAGUACUUCGGUAUGUAAAGCUCUGUCAGCAGGGAAGAGAAUGACGGUACCUGACCAAGAAGCCCCGGCUAAAUACGUGCCAGCAGCCGCGGUAAUACGUAUGGGGCAAGCGUUAUCCGGAUUUACUGGGUGUAAAGGGAGCGUAGGCGGCAGGGCAAGCCUGAUGUGAAAGCCCGGGGCUCAACCCCGGGACUGCAUUGGGAACUGCCCCGCUCGAGUGCCGGAGGGGCAGGCGGAAUUCCUAGUGUAGCGGUGAAAUGCGUAGAUAUCACGCAGAACUCAGAUUGCGAAGGCAGCGCACCGGCGCCCUACUGACGCUCAGGCACGAAAGCGUGGGUAUCGAACAGGAUUAGAUACCCCAGUA
This 445-nucleotide ribosomal RNA is filed under the name uncultured bacterium. RNAcentral describes it as "bacterial SSU rRNA". It matches the Rfam family "Bacterial small subunit ribosomal RNA", at positions 330 to 792 of the family's 1533-position model. The record is from RNAcentral.